Molecule: non-coding RNA, 73 nt
Organism: Ixodes scapularis (black-legged tick)
Lineage: Eukaryota; Metazoa; Arthropoda; Arachnida; Ixodida; Ixodidae
Source: Rfam
CCCUAAUUAGCUCAGUUAGUAGAGCGCUCCACUGGAAAUGGAGAGGUCCCCGGUUCGAUACCCGGACCAGGCG